Molecule: ribosomal RNA, 428 nt
Filed under: uncultured bacterium
Lineage: Bacteria
Description: bacterial SSU rRNA
Rfam family: Bacterial small subunit ribosomal RNA
Source: RNAcentral
AACGAACGCUGGCGGCAGGCCUAACACAUGCAAGUCGAGCGCCCGCAAGGGAGCGGCAGACGGGUGAGUAACACGUGGGAACCUACCCUUUCCUACGGAAUAACACAGAGAAAUUUGUGCUAAUACCGUAUACGCCCUUCGGGGGAAAGAUUUAUCGGGGAAGGAUGGGCCCGCGUCCGAUUAGCUAGUUGGUGGGGUAAUGGCCUACCAAGGCGACGAUCGGUAGCUGGUCUGAGAGGAUGAUCAGCCACAUUGGGACUGAGACACGGCCCAAACUCCUACGGGAGGCAGCAGUGGGGAAUAUUGGACAAUGGGCGCAAGCCUGAUCCAGCCAUGCCGCGUGAGUGAUGAAGGCCUUAGGGUUGUAAAGCUCUUUCACCCACGACGAUAAUGACGGUAGUGGGAGAAGAAGCCCGGCUAACUUCGUG